UGGGGCAGAAGUGGAGGUGCUCGGCAUCCCCAAAAGAUCAGCAGCGGUGGCUGUAGCAGUCGAUGAGGUCCCAGUUGGAGGAGGACCGACAGCGGCUUUGGAUGGUCCGACUUCAUCGUCGGAUGCCUCAUCCAGAAAGUCGAGAUCCAGUUCGAAAAACAUUCCAACCACCUUCCCUUGAUAGAGUUCGAAACCCUUGAUGAAGGU
This 207-nucleotide long non-coding RNA is filed under the name Elaeis guineensis (African oil palm). RNAcentral describes it as "long non-coding RNA (EGUI_LNC066051)". The record is from RNAcentral. Lineage: Eukaryota; Viridiplantae; Streptophyta; Magnoliopsida; Arecales; Arecaceae.